CGAACGCGAAAGUCCCCCUCGGGGGACAAGUAGAGUGGCGCACGGGUGAGUAACACGUAGGUAAUCUACCUUCGGAUGGGGAAUAACAACCGGAAACGGUUGCUAAUACCGCAUAAUGCAGCGGCACCUAAUGGUGACAGUUGUUAAAGCGGGGGAUCGAAAGACCUCGCGUCUGAAGAGGAGCCUGCGGCGGAUUAGCUAGUUGGUAGGGUAACGGCCUACCAAGGCUUCGAUCCGUAGCCGGCCUGAGAGGGCGGUCGGCCACACUGACACUGACAUACGGGUCAGACUCCUACGGGAGGCAGCAGUCGGGAAUUUUGGGCAAUGGGCGAAAGCCUGACCCAGCAACGCCGCGUGAAGGAUGAAAUCCCUCGGGAUGUAAACUUCGCAAGAACGGGAAGAAUAAGUAGGGGACAAUACCCCCUAUGAUGACGGUACCGUUUGUAAGCUCCGGCUAACUCCGUGCCAGCAGCCGCGGUAAUACGGGGGGAGCAAGCGUUGUUCGGAUUUACUGGGCGUAAAGGGCGCGUAGGCGGCCUCCGCAAGUCAAUUGUGAAAUCUCCGGGCUUAACUCGGAAAGGUCAACUGAUACUGCGGGGCUAGAGUGCGGAAGGGGGCAACUGGAAUUCUUGGUGUAGCGGUGAAAUGCGUAGAUUUCAAGAGGAACACCUGCGGCGAAGGCGGGUUUGCUGGGCCGACACUGACGCUGAGGCGCGAAAGCUAGGGGAGCGAACGGGAUUAGAUACCCCGGUAGUCCUAGCCUUAAAACGAUGAAUGCUUGGUGUC
RNAcentral lists this ribosomal RNA (786 nucleotides) under uncultured Actinomycetes bacterium. Its description in RNAcentral is "bacterial SSU rRNA". It matches the Rfam family "Bacterial small subunit ribosomal RNA", at positions 63 to 824 of the family's 1533-position model. Lineage: Bacteria; Bacillati; Actinomycetota; Actinomycetes. The record is from RNAcentral.